This 484-nucleotide ribosomal RNA is filed under the name uncultured bacterium. RNAcentral describes it as "partial 16S ribosomal RNA". It matches the Rfam family "Bacterial small subunit ribosomal RNA", at positions 30 to 507 of the family's 1533-position model. The record is from RNAcentral.
AUUGAACGCUGGCGGCAGGCCUAACACAUGCAAGUCGAGCGGAUGAAGGGAGCUUGCUCCUGGAUUCAGCGGCGGACGGGUGAGUAAUGCCUAGGAAUCUGCCUGGUAGUGGGGGAUAACGUCCGGAAACGGGCGCUAAUACCGCAUACGUCCUGAGGGAGAAAGUGGGGGAUCUUCGGACCUCACGCUAUCAGAUGAGCCUAGGUCGGAUUAGCUAGUUGGUGGGGUAAAGGCCUACCAAGGCGACGAUCCGUAACUGGUCUGAGAGGAUGAUCAGUCACACUGGAACUGAGACACGGUCCAGACUCCUACGGGAGGCAGCAGUGUGGAAUAUUGUACAAUGGGCGAAAGCCUGAGCCAGCCAUGCGGCGUGUGUGAAGAAGGUCUUCGGAUUGUAAAGCACUUUAAGUUGGGAGGAAGGGCAGUAAGUUAAUACCUUGCUGUUUUGACGUUACCAACAGAAUAAGCACCGGCUAACUUCGUG